Molecule: ribosomal RNA, 411 nt
Filed under: Apocephalus sp. 526 JMH-2018
Lineage: Eukaryota; Metazoa; Arthropoda; Insecta; Diptera; Phoridae
Description: partial 16S ribosomal RNA
Rfam family: Bacterial large subunit ribosomal RNA
Source: RNAcentral
GUUUAUCAAAAACAUGUCUUUUUGUAAUUAAUUUAAAGUCUAACCUGCCCCCUGAAUUUUUUUAAAUGGCCGCAGUAUUUUAACUGUGCAAAGGUAGCAUAAUCAUUAGUCUUUUAAUUGGAGGCUGGAAUGAACGGUUGAAUGAGACAUUAACUGUUUCUUAUAAAAUAAUUUAUAGAAUUUUAUAUUUUAGUAAGAAAGCUAAAAUAAAUUUGAAAGACAAGAAGACCCUAUAAAUCUUGAUAUUUUAUUGGGGUGAUAAUAUAAUUGUGAAACUUGUAGGUAUAAUUUACAUUAAUAAAUGAGUUUUUGAUCUAAAAGUGAUUGAUUAAUAAAAUAAGAUACUUUAGGGAUAACAGCAUAAUUUUUUUGGCGAGUUCGUAUCAAUAAAAGAGAUUAUGACCUCGAUGU